Molecule: long non-coding RNA, 248 nt
Filed under: Mytilus galloprovincialis (Mediterranean mussel)
Lineage: Eukaryota; Metazoa; Mollusca; Bivalvia; Mytilida; Mytilidae
Source: RNAcentral
GUCUGUUCCUAUUUUCUUCUCAGUAGCUCCUUCACCUGUCCUCUUUUUUUCAUUUUCCCCUUCAUUUUAUUUUGUCCCUGCAUGUUCAUAUUUACCUUGAUAAAACUGUUACAAAAAGGUCGACAGACGAGUUCCUAAGUCACUACAAGUCGUAACGAAUAUAACUUUACCGGUAAAUUUGUCAAAUUAGGAAAAACACGAAAUAUUCAGUUUACAAUCGUUAAUUUGCGCUUUGACUGAAGUCUGAC